UGAGCUCCUAGGAUUUCAAGGUUUUCUUCAACAACUGUUCUCUUUAUUUAAAAAUCAUCUUUUUUUCAAGUGAUAGAUGUUGAUCUUAUUUUUUAGCUGAAGUUAUCCAUAUAUCUGGUUUUAAAAGUCAUAUACCAUUUUCUUGGACUUCACUAUAAACAGCCCCUUCCACUUUGUAGUAUAAUGCCUAGGACAAUCCCUUUCAGUUUUCCUGACAUGUAAUGAUUUCUAAACAUUG
Molecule: long non-coding RNA, 238 nt
Filed under: Bos taurus (domestic cattle)
Lineage: Eukaryota; Metazoa; Chordata; Mammalia; Artiodactyla; Bovidae
Description: long non-coding RNA NONBTAT006995
Source: RNAcentral